Syngnathoides biaculeatus (alligator pipefish) is the source of this 316-nucleotide long non-coding RNA. RefSeq lists it as uncharacterized. The record is from RefSeq and is a predicted model, not a curated record. NCBI's taxonomy places the organism in Eukaryota, Metazoa, Chordata, Actinopteri, Syngnathiformes, Syngnathidae. The transcript is spliced from 3 exons.
GGCGACCCCUAACGGGGCAAGCCGAAAGGAAAAGAAGAAGAAAUGGGAUGGAUUGUUCCCAACGAAAUACACAUGCCUGUGUAGCGAUCAUUUCAGUCCGAAGGGGGGCACAAUUCCUGUGCAUCCUGAAGGCCGGUCCCAAGGCCAGAUAAAUGCAGAGGGUUGCGGCAGGAAGAGCAUCCGGCAUAAAACGGUCCAGAGCAGGCAGGAUUCAUUUGGAUCCUCCACAUCCUGGCCACCAGCUCAUCCAGCUCCUUCCGCCGGGAAAGCGCUACAGAUCAAUACAAGUCAAAACUACCAGGCAUCCGAACAGAUU